This 253-nucleotide ribosomal RNA is filed under the name uncultured bacterium. RNAcentral's name for it is "partial 16S ribosomal RNA". It matches the Rfam family "Bacterial small subunit ribosomal RNA", at positions 524 to 776 of the family's 1533-position model. The record is from RNAcentral.
UACAGAGGGUGCGAGCGUUAAUCGGAAUUACUGGGCGUAAAGGGCGCGCAGGCGGCGCAUUUUGUCAGGCGUGAAAGCCCCGGGCUUAACCUGGGAACUGCGUUUGAUACGGAUGAGCUAGAGUCCGGAAGAGGCGAGUGGAAUUCCUGGUGUAGCGGUGAAAUGCGCAGAUAUCAGGAGGAACACCAAUGGCGAAGGCAGCUCGCUGGGACGGUACUGACGCUGAGACGCGAAAGCGUGGGGAGCAAACAGG